Non-coding RNA from Sapajus apella (tufted capuchin), 2660 nucleotides. NCBI's taxonomy places the organism in Eukaryota, Metazoa, Chordata, Mammalia, Primates, Cebidae. The record is from the annotation of a RefSeq genome assembly.
AGUUUCAGGUAUCUCUUCAUAGCAAUGCAAGAAUGAACUAAUACACAUGGUGCGGAAAAUAGAUUUCCUCAAAAGAAUGGAGGGUUGUUACAAUACGAAGGAAAAGGCUUGCUUGGAAAAAGUAAAGAAAGUUAGGGACAGUGAAACUGCUCACUGCAUAUUUCUUCUUAGACUUCAGGUAGAGUCGAUUAGAUGAAUGGGCCAAAAGAACCAGGAAAAGGAAGAAGACACAGCUUGAUCCCUGAGAUUUGACACAGGAUAAGAGGGAAAAGGAGGAAAGCCUUUGUAUAGACCCAAAUAAUGUCCAGAUCAGAAUUUUCUUCCCAAGUUUAGAGUUUGUUAAUAUUUACACCUUGCUGCAGCACCAUGUAGCUGGUGUCUCUGAAUUCAUGGGGAGUGAAUGCUUCAGGGAGCACAAUGGAAGGCUUCCACAGUCAAAGAUAAAUGUUAGUGGGGCUGACAGAAAAACAGCAUCCUUCUCACCAAGUUUGCCCUGAGAACAUCGAGAGAUUUUUAUUAUAAGUUGAAUGAACAAGAAUAGUGAGAGUAAACAGCAUUUGUUUUAGCUGCUGUGACUUCAGUACUACCACGAAAGGAGAAUCUGUGAGGAUUGGAGGUUUUUCUCAUGUGGAUCCCAGAAGCGCUUCACCGAUAUCUUGUCUGUCUGCUUAGGUCAGUGUUCCCAAAGAUUAUUUUGUAAAUUUGAAUAACAAUGGCUACAUCUCCAAAUCCAUAUUUUUAAGAUGAUCACCAACUAACUCUGACAUGCAGAGGAGUGAUAUUCUUGCUAUGGUUUUAUCCAUCAGCAGACAUGUCUGUGCCAAUCCUAGAAGCUGAGAUUGAGCUUAUUCUCUGGUCUUUUGAGGCAAAUCCAAACGAUUUAAGUAUCUUAUCCUGUGGUAAAUAUAACUAUAGGUCAAUAGUAUUGGUGGAUGAACUUAUCUAGAGGGUUUAUAAUGAAGGGUAAAUUUCCAUUAAAAGUUUAAUAUCACAAUAUUUUGCCUGAUGCACAUAGGCCAGUCACAUUAUCUGGGAAUCAUUUCUUCUCUUACAGGAGAAGAAAGUGAUGCCAGAUAAUUUUAUAAGGAUUCAAUGACUUUAAUUACUGUAUUUUUUCAUUACUAAGAGUUAUAUAUUCUUUACUUUUUAAUAAUAUACAUAAUAAAAUUUCCCUUUUUCUUUGAAACAAAUUAUUAAUUGCAUUUCUGUUAUUGAUGUCUUAAAUGUGAAGCAAUAUGAUAUUUCAAGUAGUAGCAAUUCCUCAACCAAAGGCCAUUCAUUUAUUUAUGCAUUUGUGUGUUUAAGAAGUGUUUUCUAACCACCUGCCGAGUGUCUGAUAUUGUACUAGGUAUGGGAAUACAGCAGUGAAAAAAGCUUAAGUCUCUGCCAUCUCAAAUAAUCUACUAAUGAUUAAACAUGUGUUACUGACAUUCCUUUAGUUUUAUUCUAAAAACUUGCUUAUAUGAUAUUUUAGUGGAUCAUGGGAUGGGCCAAGAUAGAUAAAUUAGAAAAAGUAAAAUGAAUUAUUCUCAGAAAUGUCAUGGCAUGAAAAGAGCUUUCAAGUCAGACAGUUUGCUGUAAAAAAAAUAGGGUUAUAAAAAAGACCAACUAUUCUUUAGAUAUGCAAGGAACCAUUAGACAGCUAACAGGUGUCUUAGAAAAAAAAAAGCCAGAAGUGAAAAUACAGGAUUGACUUUUGGGAGAACAGAUCAACAGUCCUCUGAAUUUAGUAUCUUGCCCACAAGGGGGUGCAUUUUCCUAACACGUUGACAUUUCCUGCUCACACUCAUCCCUUCGGUGUGAGCUUAACCUUUCCUCACACUAAGAAGUCAACACCCAAGGACACCAGGGGGUCUAAAAAUGAACUCUUCUCCAGGACCAGCGCUUGCACUGUUCUUAAUGUUUGGGGGAAUCAAUGGAGAUUCAGUGGUCCAGACAGAAGGUGAAGUGCUCCUCUCUGAAGGGGAUUCCCUGACUGUGAACUGCUCCUAUGAAUCCACAGGGUACCCUUCCCUUUUCUGGUAUGUCCAAUAUCCUGGAAAAGGUCCAGAGCUCCUCCUGAAAGCCACGAAGGGCAAUGACAAGGGAAGAAGCAACAAAGAUUUUGAAGCCAUGUACCGUACAGAAACCACUUCUUUCCACUUGGAGAAAGGCUCAGUUCGAGAAUCAGACUCAGCUGUGUACUUCUGUGCUCUGAGUGACACAGUGACAGGGACUGCAGGGGGAGCUGAGCACAAACUCUAAGCAGCACAAGGGGCCUGGCUGCUGAGUGUCAGCUGCUGUGAUCCACUCUGAUUAGGGACCUGGAACUACUCUACUGUUGUUGUUCAUCACUCACCCCAGGCACUCUGAGUGUGAAAGCCAUCCAAAUAAACUCUAAAACACGAUAGAAGAACAUGCCUUACACCAGAUGCUUUAACAAUAAGAGUGAAAACAGAAUGUCUCCAUAGUUCCUCAACCUUGCUUGACAUUUGUGAUUUUAAAAGUAUAAAACCUCGAGAUAAAUGAAAUGGUUUAGCUGUUCAUUCCUGCAUAAAAUCUAGACAAUCCUGGCCUUGUCUCAGGUCAUCCAAGGAAAUAGUAUGUUUACAGACACAGUUGUGACAGAUGAGGUUGCAAAUGCUUAAUGUAUACCUGAUGAGCUGGGGCAAGAUGGGAGG